Molecule: ribosomal RNA, 434 nt
Filed under: Escherichia coli
Lineage: Bacteria; Pseudomonadati; Pseudomonadota; Gammaproteobacteria; Enterobacterales; Enterobacteriaceae
Description: partial 23S ribosomal RNA
Rfam family: Bacterial large subunit ribosomal RNA
Source: RNAcentral
CUGUAAGCCUGCGAAGGUGUGCUGUGAGGCAUGCUGGAGGUAUCAGAAGUGCGAAUGCUGACAUAAGUAACGAUAAAGCGGGUGAAAAGCCCGCUCGCCGGAAGACCAAGGGUUCCUGUCCAACGUUAAUCGGGGCAGGGUGAGUCGACCCCUAAGGCGAGGCCGAAAGGCGUAGUCGAUGGGAAACAGGUUAAUAUUCCUGUACUUGGUGUUACUGCGAAGGGGGGACGGAGAAGGCUAUGUUGGCCGGGCGACGGUUGUCCCGGUUUAAGCGUGUAGGCUGGUUUUCCAGGCAAAUCCGGAAAACUAAGGCUGAGGCGUGAUGACGAGGCACUACGGUGCUGAAGCAACAAAUGCCCUGCUUCCAGGAAAAGCCUCUAAGCAUCAGGUAACAUCAAAUCGUACCCCAAACCGACACAGGUGGUCAGGUAGAG